This is a non-coding RNA of Anas platyrhynchos (mallard), 654 nucleotides long. Lineage: Eukaryota; Metazoa; Chordata; Aves; Anseriformes; Anatidae. The record is from RefSeq and is a predicted model, not a curated record.
UCAGGGCUCUGGCUGAUGAGGCUGGUGCCAGCUCUCUCCUCCCACCCUGGGCCCCUGGCCCCGCACACCCCAUGGGCUCGCGGCCGGCAGUGUCUCCGAGCUCCCUGACACAGACAGGGCACCCGCAGCUCUCCCGGCCUCUGGCUUUCCUGCCCUCGCUUUUCACCUCUGCCUGUGCUCCCGGCUCUGCAAUCAAGCAGUGUCGACGGCAGCUGCAUGUGAAAUGACUCGACGCCCUAUCCGCGGGUCCCUGGCUGGCGUUCAGCCCUCGCACCGCAAACAUUGCCUUCUAUAAAUAAAGGCCUAUAUCUCAUCAAUGGCAGAACAGCAGAGCUUUAUAUAGUCGUCUUACAUAAAACCGUCUCUCUUUAUGGGCUUCAAACCAUUUGCGUCACUUAGUGCAGCCCCGUAAACCUCCCCGUUCCAGCGCGGGGAGACCCGGCCCCGCGCCCCGGGGCUGCCCGCGGGGUGCCCGGGAACCCCUCUCCUGGGGACUGCCGCCCCAGGCAGGGCCAGGUGGCAGCUGCGUCCCCCCCACGUCACCGCCUUGGCACGUGGCUCCCCGCAGCCCGCCCGGCCUUGGCACCGUGCUCUGGCACGGCAGCCGGCACCGCCAGGCAGCACGGGGAUGGCCAGCUGCGCGCCAGCGCUGCG